GUGGGGAAUAUUGGGCAAUGGGCGCAAGCCUGACCCAGCAACGCCGCGUGAGGGAAGAAGGCUUUCGGGUUGUAAACCUCUGUCCUUGGUGACGAAACAAAUGACGGUAGCCAAGGAGGAAGCCCCGGCUAACUUCGUGCCAGCAGCCGCGGUAAUACGAAGGGUGCAAGCGUUAAUCGGAAUUACUGGGCGUAAAGCGCGCGUAGGUGGUUAAGUAAGCGAUCUGUGAAAGCCCCGGGCUCAACCUGGGAAUUGCAGGUCGAACUGCUUGGCUAGAGUAUGGUAGAGGGGUGUGGAAUUCCAGGUGUAGCGGUGAAAUGCGUAGAUAUCUGGAGGAACAUCAGUGGCGAAGGCGACACCCUGGACCGAUACUGACACUGAGGUGCGAAAGCGUGGGUAGCGAACAGGAUUAGAAACCCCUGUAGUCC
RNAcentral lists this ribosomal RNA (428 nucleotides) under uncultured bacterium. Its description in RNAcentral is "partial 16S ribosomal RNA". It matches the Rfam family "Bacterial small subunit ribosomal RNA", at positions 354 to 796 of the family's 1533-position model. The record is from RNAcentral.